CGACAUGGAGCGACGCACCCUGCUGAUUGUCCUGCUAGUGUGCAGCUUCCUGCUGCUUGGUGUCACCGCCGAGGCCUCGCCUUGGGGUAGUCGCCGCUUCGUGAGACCGCCGUUUGGGGGCAGACCACCAUUUGGCGGAUCAGGCUGUGUGUGUGUCACGACACCAUGUAAAUGUCCCUACUACGGCUAACCCGGCCAGCGAACACGGAAUCUGACAGUGCUCGCUCAGGCCACACGACACUCGCCAUGGAUGGAAAGCGCCGACUCUUGAUUCUUUGGAUGAAUUAAAAUUUAGUUUUGCACUUAGUGGUAAAUAAAGUAUUAGCAAUCCC
Portunus trituberculatus (swimming crab) is the source of this 332-nucleotide long non-coding RNA. RefSeq lists it as uncharacterized. Lineage: Eukaryota; Metazoa; Arthropoda; Malacostraca; Decapoda; Portunidae. The record is from RefSeq and is a predicted model, not a curated record. The transcript has 3 exons.